GAGUUUGAUCCUGGCUCAGAACGAACGCUGGCGGCAUGCCUAACACAUGCAAGUCGAACGAGACCUUCGGGUCUAGUGGCGCACGGGCUGCGUAACGCGUGGGAAUCUACCCUUGGGUUCGGAAUAACAGCGAGAAAUUGCUGCUAAUACCGGAUGAUGGCUUCGGCCCAAAGAUUUAUCGCCCAAGGAUGAGCCCGCGUAGGAUUAGCUUGUUGGUGAGGUAC
Molecule: ribosomal RNA, 224 nt
Filed under: uncultured bacterium
Lineage: Bacteria
Description: partial 16S ribosomal RNA
Rfam family: Bacterial small subunit ribosomal RNA
Source: RNAcentral